CACUAGGGUUAUCAUAACAGCUAAAAACUUACUGUGAUCUAAUGUUUAACAUUUUCAUUUUCAUACUACUGUUUUCAGAUUCUCACAUCUCUCUGAGAGCCAAAACCAAACCCCUAAUGCUGCCUCAGUGUUGCUGAGUGAGACUUGAAAGACCCCUGACUUUCAGGAGUCCUUAGAGAAAUGAGUGCUGUGCUGCCUACUUCAUGACACAGAGACAACAUUGUGCCAGGUGUCCCCUCAUAACCUCCAUGUGCUGUCACCAUUUCCCAGAGCUUCCCAGCAAUCAUGACGCGCCUGAAAGUACAGAGGAAUUUAGCAAGGUGAAGCAGUGUCUCCAAAUGAAAGUAUUACUGCAGAGGAGGUGGAAGGACCCAGAC
RNAcentral lists this long non-coding RNA (377 nucleotides) under Mastacembelus armatus (zig-zag eel). Its description in RNAcentral is "lncRNA (ENSMAMG00000028593.1)". The record is from RNAcentral. Lineage: Eukaryota; Metazoa; Chordata; Actinopteri; Synbranchiformes; Mastacembelidae.